UACAGAUGCUGUGCUGCUAUCACAGGUGUCCAUCACCAUGUGUGACGCUAGUGACAUUGUCCAGACGUCACAGGAUCCCAGAGUGAUGAUGUGUGAAGGGUUUUCCAAGGUCGUCUACUUCUUUUUUUGAAAACUUUAAAGACAUUGGGCCUGAAAGGUUCAGUGACUUGUCCAGGGAAACCCAGUUUGUUUGUGACAGUUCACUCUCUCACAGCUGAGCCACAGUUCUCUACACUCCCAGGAGCCACAGAAAGUGAACAUCCCUCAGGUCCCAGUGUCAUUCAGGGACGUGACUGUGGAGUUCACCAGGAGGAGUGGCAGCAGGUGGGCCCUGUACAGAGAUGUGAUGAGGCUGGAGAGCUACAGCCA
Ceratotherium simum simum (southern white rhinoceros) is the source of this 369-nucleotide RNA transcript. RefSeq lists it as uncharacterized. The record is from RefSeq and is a predicted model, not a curated record. NCBI's taxonomy places the organism in Eukaryota, Metazoa, Chordata, Mammalia, Perissodactyla, Rhinocerotidae.